UGUAAGUUGGAGUGAAUACCGAGAGUUCUACAAUACCCCAGAAGCUAACAAAGAUUAUCUGCAGUACAGGGAAUCGAUUGUGUAGAAUCUUAAGGUUUGCGUGGUGCAACAAUAAGCUGCUCCAAGUUUAAAACUCUGCUCAGUUUUAUUUUAUUUUAUUCGGAACUAACAACCAUUUGGUCUCUUGACAGUGGUUUGAAGAUGAUGUUCUCAAAGGCUAUAUUCAGGGGCCUGGCUUCCGUAAUAGAUCUUUGUGCCAAGCAAUUAGGAUUGCUGCUAGGUUCCCGAACAUUGAUCUGAGGCUAGCAUAUCAUGGCAUCGAGGAGUAUAUACAGAGCACACACUUAGUGAAAGAUCUUGCUUGUUUAUUUUCUGAGAUCUGGAAACUGGUUAAUGGUCAUGAUCAGGACAAUGUACAGAUGUGUUUCAGUGAUGCGCUGGAGCAUGUUUAUGAUGAAAAUCGGUAUCCAUUACGCAAACGUAAUUUGAACAACGAGUUGAGGUACACUGGUGGUUUGAACCUGCAGGAACUAGUAGUUUUUUUUUCUUUUCCUUUCUUACACUUCCGCUUUGUGUUUUCAUUGGACAAUUAGUAUACCUCUUACGUUGCAAACUGCUUCAAUCAUCUUUCCUUGUAGUUUCGGCAGUGCACGCAGGGUAUCAGUAAGGAAGUUCCGGAUUCGAUAGCUCUUGAGUUAAUUUCCUGGGAAGUUAGGUUCAAGUGUGACCUGCCAAAGACAUAUGUGCAGUAUGCCAGAAAGAAGCUCAAGAUUGCAGAAACCAUAGGAUUGAUUCCCAAGGCCAAGAUAUUCGCGUAGUUGUUUGUUGCUUGUUGGCGUGGUGGUCAUUUGGAAUAAGUUUCAGAAAAUAAACUGUAAUAUUCCAGGGUAGCUACUGCAUCUAUGGUUAAACGCC
This is a long non-coding RNA of Triticum dicoccoides, 915 nucleotides long. RefSeq lists it as uncharacterized. NCBI's taxonomy places the organism in Eukaryota, Viridiplantae, Streptophyta, Magnoliopsida, Poales, Poaceae. The transcript is spliced from 6 exons. The record is from RefSeq and is a predicted model, not a curated record.